UUUGAACCUAGUGGGACGAUGAAAGGGUCUGUUUAUUUCAGGUAUCGUGAGAGAAAAUGUAAUUUGAACCUAGUGGGACGAUGAAAGGGUUAAUAGAUAUUGUGAAUGAGUGUACUUUUCGGAGAAUGGCUUAUAGAGUGAAGAGAGUUUUUUCUGUUCCAGAAAAUUUUAGAGCUAUUGCUUAUUUUGGCUGUUGUUGCAAAAACAGGAGAAAGUAAUCAAUAGGUGUGAUAUGUGAAUCGGAAAGAUUGAUAGCUGGUUAAAUAGGAAAUGCAUUUAAGUGCAGUUAGGAUAAUAAUUUAUUUAAGAUUUAGAAAGUUUAUAGGUAAAUUUUGUCUAAGGUGAGUUUAAAAGGGGUGAGCUUUUUAAAUUCUAAAGGAAAAAAGAGUUGAAGUAGAAAUAAGAUUGUUCAGCUUUAAAACGUUGUGACGAAAUGGGCUUUUGAAAGAUUUUUAUUUAGUACUAUUUUUUUAAUGUGGGUUUUGCAUUAAAAAUUAGUAUAAGAUUAGUAAGAGAGAGAAUAUUAAUUUACGUGUUUUGAAAUAAGAUGGUUGAUUAAUAGAUGUGUUAGGGCAUAAAUUUACUCUUAAGGAACUCGGCAAAUAUGGUCUUCGCCUGUUUAACAAAAACAUGGCCCUUUGUUUUUUAAUAUAAAGGGUCGGACCUGCCCGGUGGGAUUGGCUAACCUUAACGGCUGCGACGAGAGUUGUGCUAAUGUAGCGUAAUCAUUAGCCUUUUAAAAGGAGGGAGGAAUGAAUGGUUUGACGAGGGACCUGCUGUCUCAGGAGUAAUUUCUAAAGUUUUCUUUUAAGUGAAAAGACUUAAAUUUUUAAAUAAGAAGAGAAGACCCCGGUGAGCUUGAUAAACCUUGACUAAAGAGUUAAGAUUUGAAGUUUUGUUGGGGAAACAGGAAGGGAAAAGGAACCCUUCCGUUAAUAAUGGUGAUCCCCUCUGAGGGAAGUUAGCAAAAGCUACCACGGGGAUAACAGCUUAAUCCUUUCUGAGAGAACAAAUUGAAGAAAGGGAUUGCGACAUCGAUGUUGGAUUAGGGUACCCUUUUGGUGCAGAAGUUAAAAAGGGGAGACUGUUCGUCUUUUAAACCCCUACAUGAUCUGAGUUCAGACCGGCGUGAGCUAGGUCAGUUUCUAUCUAUUUUAAAGCUCUUCUAGUACGAAAGGAAUUUUGAGCUGUGUGGGACUUUACUUUUAGUAAAGAUGAUU
This 1220-nucleotide ribosomal RNA is filed under the name Lutraria maxima. RNAcentral's name for it is "16S ribosomal RNA". It matches the Rfam family "Bacterial large subunit ribosomal RNA", at positions 495 to 2835 of the family's 2925-position model. Lineage: Eukaryota; Metazoa; Mollusca; Bivalvia; Venerida; Mactridae. The record is from RNAcentral.